AGUAAUGUAUGGGGAUCUGCCUGAUGGCGGGGGAUAACUACUGGAAACGGUAGCUAAUACCGCAUAAUGUCUGCGGACCAAAGCGGGGGGACCUCCGGGCCUCGCGCCAUCAGAUGAACCCAUAUGGGAUUAGCUAGUAGGUAAGGUAACGGCUUACCUAGGCGACGAUCCCUAGCUGGUCUGAGAGGAUGAUCAGCCACACUGGGACUGAGACACGGCCCAG
RNAcentral lists this ribosomal RNA (223 nucleotides) under uncultured bacterium. RNAcentral's name for it is "partial 16S ribosomal RNA". It matches the Rfam family "Bacterial small subunit ribosomal RNA", at positions 109 to 334 of the family's 1533-position model. The record is from RNAcentral.